UGGAAGAGGCUGCUGAUGUUAGGAUGG
Molecule: non-coding RNA, 27 nt
Filed under: Mus musculus (house mouse)
Lineage: Eukaryota; Metazoa; Chordata; Mammalia; Rodentia; Muridae
Source: RNAcentral